Long non-coding RNA from Piliocolobus tephrosceles (Ugandan red Colobus), 2699 nucleotides. Lineage: Eukaryota; Metazoa; Chordata; Mammalia; Primates; Cercopithecidae. The record is from Ensembl.
UACAAUAUUAUAAUAAAAAAAUUAUGAGUGGAUUUAGUAACAUAAAAAAAAUAGUAGGAGAUAUAUAUAAAGAAAAAAUAAACAACAACGGUUUAAUUAAUAAUUUCUCUGAUAAUAUUUUGGCUGGUAACAUUUUUUCAAACAAUCAGUCGGGAAAUAGCCACGAUAGUACUAGCCACUUUGAUAAUAACCACUUUAAUGAUGACAGUUUUAGUAACAACUUUCUGAGUAGUAGUAAAAAUGAUUUAAGCUGUGACUAUCCAAACAUCGUACACAUAAACAAAAGUUGUGAUGUUAUGAGUGACAGCAAAAAAAUAUAUUUAUCAAAAAUAGUGCCUUGGAAAAAAGCCGACAUAAUGAUUUCAAAAAUAUAUCGUAUAAAAUAUAAUCAGGGGUUUCCUAUAAAUUUACCGAACGAGGAAAUAAAUAAAAAUGUUUAUAAAAAAAUAAUCGAAUUAAAUGUUAAUAAAACAAAAAUUUUAAAUACUAAUAUAUUAGAAAAUUAUAAUUUCAAUUGGGAAAAAAAGAAAGAACAAAGUGAAAAUAUAAUGAAAGAAGAUAACAAUUUAAAAGUGAUGAAAAAUUAUUUAGUGCCUGUUUAUAUGUCUGAACAAAUUUUCUGGAAAGUUUAUUUUUUUAAUAUAGAUAUUAUUUAUAAUGAAUUAGCAGAUUAUAUUUACGAGAAUAAAAAUACAAAUAUUUUUAUAAAAGGUAAUGCUACACCUCAACAAAGUAACAUACCAUUUAACCUACAUGAUGAGCACAAAACAAAUAAUAAUAGUACUAACAAUUUUAAUGAUUCAUAUGAUGCUACUAAGAGCAGCAAUAAUAAUAAAGAUUUAUAUAAUGGAACUUUUGAAAAUAAAUCACAAUAUGAAAUUAACGGUGAUUCUGAUUUUUUUUAUGAAAACCAAAAUAACAUAAAUUUUAAUUUAAACAUGAAUCAACACAUGUCAAAAACUAAUAACCACAUCAAAAACAUUUUUUAUGAAUUUAAUGGUAAUGAGUGUCAGGUAAAUGAUAUUAUGCAUAAAAAUGAUAAUAGUAAUGUUUUUGAGGAUGUUGAAAAUAUAAAUAAUAUCCAACAGGACGGACAAAAUGACCAAGAGACUUUGUUACAAAACCAAAAAAAAAUAAUAAAUGAAUAUCAUCAUUCUUUUGGUGAUAUAACAAAAGGUGAAUAUAAUAUAAAUAAAAAGAUAAAUGACAUUAAUAAUAUUGGUAAAACUGAUAGUGAAACAAAUUUAGACACGUUCUCUUGUUCGUUUAAUUCGAUAAGAAAACGAGAAGAUAUGGAUACACCAAAUGAUGGGGACAUAUCACAUAAUGUCUAUACUCCAUUUGAUAUGCUUAAUAAUAAAAAGAAGGACAAUAUACAGACGUAUGAAUACACAAAUAAUAAAAUAACAAAUACAGGCGACGAUGUUUGUGACAAAUUUAAUAGUAAGCAUAAUAGUAAGCAUGAAGGUGAACAUGAGGGUGAACAUGAGGGUGAACAUGGGGAUGAACAUGAGGGUGAACAUGAAGGUGAGCAUGAAGGUGAGCAUGACGAGAGCAAUAUCAACAGAAACAGAAGUAGUAAUACAAUGGAUAUUCGUACAGAUGCAUCAACAUCAACUGAAGAUGAAGACUUGAUUAAAGAGACCCAAAUUAACGGUACGAAUAUUUAUAUAGAUAAAGAUAUUUACUUAAAUUUAAAAAACAAAACUAAUAUGUUCACACAGGUUGAUAAUGAUAGUCGUAAAGACGAGCAGAAAAAAGAAAUUGGUAGUAAGGAAUGCGAAUCAUUUCCUCUUGUCCCCAAUACUACUAAUAAUACAAUAGACAGUCAAUUACCUACUGUUAAACAUAACGAAAAAAAUGAUGAACAAACAAAAGUAAAUAAUUUUAUAAAGGAUGAAGAAUUAUUAUUAAAUAAACAAACUGAAACAAGAGACAAUUAUUUUGAUAGAUUAUUAAAUAUAACAGAAAACGAAAAACCAUGUAAUAAUAACAAUAAUCAUAACAAUACAACAACAACAACAACAACAGCAACAACAACAACAGCAACAACAACAACAGCAACAACAACAACAAAAACAGUAACGACAGCGACUUCUAAUUGUUUAUUAAAAUUAAAUGAUAUUAAUAUGACUGACUUAAGUUUUGAAGAAGACUUUGAUUAUAAUAUAGACUCUAAUAGAUUUAACGAGGAAGAAUUGGAACAAUUUGAAAAGGAUUUAUUAAAUGCUUAAUACAUGCACCUACACAUGCAUAUAUAUGUAUGUAUGUAUGUAUACGUUUUUUUUUUUUUUUUACGAAACUUAUGUUUAUACAUAAUGCUAACACAUUGUAUUAUGUACAUCCGUACGUAUGUACUUAUGUAUGUAUGUAUGUAUGUAUGAUUUUUUAUGUGAUGUUUUUCUUUUGAUUGCUUUUUUUUUUUUUUAAAUACGUAUAUAUAUAUAUAUAUAUCGUACAAGUUUGUUCAUAUUAUAUUUGCUUCUCUAAGCGCUCAAUUACUCACAACUUACGUGUUUAUUUACUCAUUUGCUCGUUUUGGAUAUCUUAUGUAGCUUGUUUUGCUCACGCACAUUAUUUUUAUGCAAUUAACUAUUAUGUAAUCUUCUUGUGUUAUUUAUUUUGUUACUUUAUUAAUUUGUAAAAUAUUGUCAUGUAUUUGUUAAAUAAGUUUAAUGUUUUUUAUUUUUUUUUAUUUU